This 1484-nucleotide long non-coding RNA is filed under the name Macaca fascicularis (crab-eating macaque). RNAcentral's name for it is "lncRNA (ENSMFAG00000051663.1)". Lineage: Eukaryota; Metazoa; Chordata; Mammalia; Primates; Cercopithecidae. The record is from RNAcentral.
AAUAGAAUAUAGAGAAAUAAAAUAUAUAUUUCAUAUGAGUAUGUAUGUAAAUUUAUUUCUUUUAAAGAAAAAUUUCAGGAAACAAAAUGAAUAAGCUCCUAGUCAUAAAACCUCUAGUGAAAGCGUGUCAGUGGUCUGAUUUGUAGGCGAGCAGACUCAGGACUCAGGAAUUUUUUUUUUUUUUUUAAGAGACAGGGUCUCAUUCUGUCACCGAGGCUGGAGUGCGGGGAAGUGAAAGUAGCUCACUGCAGCCUCAAACUCCUGGGCUCAAGCUGCCCUCCCACCUCAGCUUCCAAGUAGUUGGGAUUACAGGUGCAAGCUGCUGCUCCUACCUGAAGAGUUUUAAUUAUAUAAAAUUCUUAAAUAAAUUGUUAUUCCUUUCUUUUAUGAAGAAAUAUAAUUGAUAUUCUUGUCACUUAUUCAAUAAGCACAUUUGUUAAAUAUUUAGCACCUACUGUGAAGAUAGCACUGUGCUAGCUGCUAUGAAGAAAUAAACUAGAAUAGCAUAUCACUGUUUUCCUAUGGACGAAAACCCAGAAAGGUAAAAUAAGUAGCCAUGAAUGGGUUGAGAUUCCCCCCACCCCCUUUGAAUACUAAUGACAGAAAUCUUAUAUGCGCUAUGUAAGCAGUGCCCUAGGGUCAGAACAGAAAGUAACUUGCAAUUUUUAAAGGUAGGAGAAAUGACCGAAGUUUGGAGUGGUCAGAGUUUCCCUGGAAGUCUCUUGCCUGUGGGACUUCGUAUGACUCACUCAGACUACCUGAGCCUGAGCUCCUCAUUUAUAAAAUGGAGGAGUUGAACCUAGCCUCCAAGGUCCCUUCUAGCCUCACCAUGCUCUGGUUUAUUGUUUAAUGAUAUGAAUCCAAGAUGGACAAAUGGUCGAUUUUGCUGCUUCUACAGUAGAUAGAUCUAUCUUCUUAAGUGGAAGUAAAAUAGUAAAGAAGACAUGUUUGAGGCCUGUUUGCAGGAUGCAUUGUAUCUCAUCAAGGAAUUGAGAAUGUAUCCCUAAAUAUUAGGAAGGAGUUGAAAGUUUCUGAGCAGGAACAGAACAUGCUGAAAGGAAAUUGAGUCAGCAGCAUGGCGUACUGGAGAGCUUGGCAGAGGAAGACAGGAGGCAAGAAGACCUGUGGGAGGCAGCCAGAAAGGAGGUGAAGAGGCCCGGCAAAGGAAGCCAAGGAUGAUUGAAGAGAGGCCAGGCGCGGUGGCUCAAGCCUGUAAUCCCAGCACUUUGGGAGGCCGAGACGGGCGGAUCACGAGGUCAGGAGAUCGAGACCAUCCUGGCUAACACGGUGAAACCCGUCUUUACUAAAAAUACAAAAACUAGCGAUGGUGGCGGGCGCCUGUAGUCCCAGCUACUCGGGAGGCUGAGGCAGGAGAAUGGCGUAAACCCGGAGGCGGAGCUUGCAGUGAGCUGAGAUCUGGCCACUGCACUCCAGCCUGGGCCACAGAGCGAGACUCCGUCUCAAAAAAAAAAAAAAAAAAAAAA